GCCGACGUAGCCCAACCUGGUAGAGGCGCCGGGUUCAGGACCCGGAGGUUGUGGGUUCGAAUCCCACCGUCGGUA
RNAcentral lists this transfer RNA (75 nucleotides) under Dehalococcoidia bacterium. RNAcentral's name for it is "tRNA-Leu". It matches the Rfam family "tRNA". From Rfam's summary of the family: Transfer RNA (tRNA) molecules are approximately 80 nucleotides in length. Their secondary structure includes four short double-helical elements and three loops (D, anti-codon, and T loops). Further hydrogen bonds mediate the characteristic L-shaped molecular structure. tRNAs have two regions of fundamental functional importance: the anti-codon, which is responsible for specific mRNA codon recognition, and the 3' end, to which the tRNAs corresponding amino acid is attached (by aminoacyl-tRNA synthetases). tRNAs cope with the degeneracy of the genetic code in two manners: having more than one tRNA (with a specific anti-codon) for a particular amino acid; and 'wobble' base-pairing, i.e. permitting non-standard base-pairing at the 3rd anti-codon position. The record is from RNAcentral. Lineage: Bacteria; Bacillati; Chloroflexota; Dehalococcoidia.